UGGGGUAUAGAUCAGUGGUAGAGCAUGUGCUUAGCAUGUAUCAGGUUCUGGGUUUGAUCCCCAACACCACAC
RNAcentral lists this transfer RNA (72 nucleotides) under Marmota monax (woodchuck). RNAcentral describes it as "tRNA.Ala". Lineage: Eukaryota; Metazoa; Chordata; Mammalia; Rodentia; Sciuridae. The record is from RNAcentral.